This 209-nucleotide long non-coding RNA is filed under the name Mus pahari (shrew mouse). Its description in RNAcentral is "RIKEN cDNA A930002I21 gene (MGP_PahariEiJ_G0005779.1)". The record is from RNAcentral. Lineage: Eukaryota; Metazoa; Chordata; Mammalia; Rodentia; Muridae.
GAUUCUUUGAAGGGGAUUAGACAUCCAGUUCAGGUACAUGAGGGAGCCCAGGCCCGAGCAACCCAGCCUUAGGCAGGGACACAUGCUCACACUCUGCAGCCAGUCUUGGAUCGGAUCAACAUUUGAAGUUAAGAGGACCAGGGGACACCGAAGACAAUUUGGACUAGGAGCCAAGGCUCAGACUCCACCCAGGACCCCCUUGGAAGCAG